UCAAGUUAAUAAGGGCGUAGGGCGGAUGCCUUGGCACCAAGAGCCGAUGAAGGACGGGAUAAGCACCGAUAUGCUUCGGGGAGCCGCAAAUAGGCAUUGAUCCGGAGAUUUCCGAAUGGGGAAACCCGCUUAAGUAGACCUUAAGCAUCAUACACUGAAUCCAUAGGUGUAUGAGGGGAUACCAGGGGAACUGAAACAUCUAAGUACCCUGAGGAAGAGAAAGAAACAUCGAUUUCCUAAGUAGCGGCGAGCGAACGGGAAAGAGCCCAAACCGAGCUUAGCUCGGGGUUACGGACCAGCAAAAGGAAUUACAAAGCCUAGUAGAAGAAGGUUGGAAACCCUCACCAUAGAAGGUGAUAGUCCUGUAUACGAAAGGUAGAGUAAUCUAGCUGGAAUCCAGAGUACCACGGGACACGUGAAAUCCUGUGGGAAGUAGGGAGGCCCACCUCCCAAGGCUAAAUACUCCUUGGUGACCGAUAGUGAAUAAGUACCGUGAGGGAAAGGUGAAAAGAACCCCGGGAGGGGAGUGAAAUAGAACCUGAAACCCUACGCCUACAAGCAGUGGAAGCACAUUAUUAGUGUAACCGCGUACUUUUUGUAGAACGGGCCAGCGAGUUAUGGUAUUGAGCGAGGUUAAGUGCUUAAGGCACGGAGCCGUAGGGAAACCGAGUCUUAACAGGGCGUAAAGUUCAAUGCCAUAGACCCGAAACCGGGUGACCUAUCCAUGGGCAGAGUGAAGUUGAAGUAAAGUUCAAUGGAGGCUCGAACCCGUUAGCGUUUAAAAGCUAUGGGAUGACCUGUGGAUAGGGGUGAAAAGCCAAUCGAACUCGGAGAUAGCUGGUUCUCCUCGAAAUAGCUUUAGGGCUAGCCUCAAGGGAGUGAAAUGGAGGUAGAGCACUGACUGGUCUAGGGGCCAAUAAGGUUACCAAAACCUAUCAAACUCCGAAUGCCAUAUUCAUGAUCCUUGGGAGUCAGACUAUGUGGGAUAAGCUUCAUAGUCGAGAGGGAAAGAGCCCAGACCACCAGCUAAGGUCCCUAAAUCCAGAUUAAGUGGUAAAGGAUGUGAGGUUUCACAGACAACCAGGAUGUUGGCUUAGAAGCAGCCAUACAUUUAAAGAGUGCGUAAUAGCUCACUGGUCGAGAGACCUUGCGCCGAAGAUUUCCGGGGCUUAAAUCUGGUACCGAAGCUGUGGACUGUCGGUGGUAUUAAACCUACGACAGUGGUAGAGGAGCAUUGUGUUAGGGUAGAAGGUAUACCGAAAGGAGUGCUGGACUUAACACAAGAGAGAAUGCUGGCAUAAGUAGCGAAAGGUGAGUGAGAAUCUCACCCGUCGAAAGCCUAAGGUUUCCUGAGGAAGGCUCGUCCACUCAGGGUAAGUCGGGACCUAAGCCGAGGCUGAAAAGCGUAGGCGAUGGACAACAGGUUGAGAUUCCUGUACUAGUUGAUUGCGUUUGAGAGAAGGAGUGACGCAGGAGGAUAGGCUGAGCGCACCGUUGGUUGAGUGCGUCUAAGCAAGUAGGGAGUUAGGAUAGGCAAAUCCGUCUUAACAAUCCUGAGAUGCGAUGGGGAGCGAAAAAUAAGUAGCGAAGCAGCUGACUCCACACUGCCAAGAAAAGCUUCUAUCGAGCAAAAAACUACCCGUACCGCAAACCGACACAGGUAGGCGAGGAGAGAAUCCUAAGACGAGCGGAAGAACCAUUGUUAAGGAACUCGGCAAAAUAGCCCCGUAACUUCGGGAGAAGGGGUGCCAGAAGAUGUGAAAUGUAUCCACAAGGAGCAUCAUCUGGCCGCAGUGAAUAGGCCCAAGCGACUGUUUACCAAAAACACAAGUCUCUGCUAAGUCGAAAGACGAAGUAUAGGGGCUGACACCUGCCCGGUGCUGGAAGGUUAAGGGGAAUACUUAGCGCAAGCGAAGGUAUGAACUUAAGCCCCAGUAAACGGCGGCCGUAACUAUAACGGUCCUAAGGUAGCGAAAUUCCUUGUCGGGUAAGUUCCGACC
Molecule: ribosomal RNA, 2000 nt
Filed under: anaerobic digester metagenome
Description: bacterial LSU rRNA
Rfam family: Bacterial large subunit ribosomal RNA
Source: RNAcentral